GCUCAAUAUUUCUACCUGCAUGUGUUUUGUUACGAUGCAGCUGGAGGAGAAACGGGAGAUCAUCUGAAAUCUGCAUGGUUGAAAGUGGGACUGUGCCCCUCCACUCGUACUGGGCAGCAAAAGGAAAGGAUCAUCACUGCAAGAACACACCUGCUUACUGAGCCAUCCCAGUAUGUGAUGCUCAUCUUCAAUAUGAAACAUUACCAGCUUGCAGGUGGUGAAUCCAGCAUUGUGCACGGAUUAAGUAUCUCUUACAGCCUGUUCUGUGCUAACAGACUCCAUCGUUAGUUAAGAAUUGCUGUUUGCACAGUGCAGCACUUCCUCGAGUAAUUCGCAUUCUGCUGAGUAAUCCUGGUGACUUGAAGGAGACUUUACUUCUGCCUCAUCUUUGUAAUGCCUGAUGCAUGAAGCUGUGCUGCUUUAGAAGAAUGGAGGUGAGAGACUGAGCUCUGUUCCAGUGGCAGCAAUAUUGCCUGGUGAAGAUGAUGUCUGACUCCCCAUUCAUCACAAACCACAGAGUACAUCUCUAUCUAAUGCAUAUUAAGUAGUAGAGAAGCAUAAAAAAGAAAUUUCCCCAUUGAAAUGACUUUACUCAGUGUGAGGAAAAACAAGGCUAGCCCUCAUACAACCUCUUCAAAUCAAGAAAAUAUUGCUUAUCAGGUUUAAACUACUGUGC
This 676-nucleotide long non-coding RNA is filed under the name Meleagris gallopavo (turkey). Its description in RNAcentral is "lncRNA (ENSMGAG00000018823.1)". The record is from RNAcentral. Lineage: Eukaryota; Metazoa; Chordata; Aves; Galliformes; Phasianidae.